GGAAGAGCAAAAAUUCAAGAUCCAGUAGAGAAUAUUUUAGAAGCCAUUAGUCAGCCAGAUUAUUUACACUGGCAGGACACAGAAAUUUACAGUCUUUCUGAAGUGAGGAAUUAUCAGCCAUGCCUUACAGAUAGGAAAAUCGCCAUGUAAGGGAGGAGAUGUGCCCAGCAUAUUAAGGCCAGCAUAUUAAGUGUUGAGACUGAACUGUCUGAAAGUGACUGUAUCCCACAACCCAGACAACCAGUUGCACCUCCCUAAGGCAGAGUUUUACUUUCAUCACUAUUUUGAGUUGGUUGGUUCUACUUUCUCAUCCAAUUACAAUUUUUAACUGAUCAUCUUUCUAGACAAAAAUCAUAUGUUGAAAUCAUGUGAUUUCAGUACAGUUUAUGGAAUGGUUGUUGAUGCUAUACAGUGCUAUAUUCUUAAAACUACUAAGCUUCUCAAAGACAGGUUCUCCUAAACGUCUCAUGAACAAAUUGGA
Molecule: long non-coding RNA, 481 nt
Filed under: Bos taurus (domestic cattle)
Lineage: Eukaryota; Metazoa; Chordata; Mammalia; Artiodactyla; Bovidae
Description: long non-coding RNA NONBTAT006309
Source: RNAcentral